AUAGAUUAUACAAAAAAAAAAAAAAGUUUGAUAGAGUUUAAGUUAAUAUUUACUUGAAUAAAUUUAGUUGAAAGAAUUACAUGAAGCACAUUAACUAAAUCCAUAAAUCAAAACGAUGCAUUUAAAUUUUGAACUGAAAUUUAUUAAUUGACUCAAAUCUAUUUUGUAGAAAGGUUGGACACAGUAAAAACAAAAUUAAAAAAGGUUGGAUGACUGAUUAAAAAUGGUUCAUAGUUAAGAAAAGUUUUAUACGUUUUUACUUUGAUUUUAAUAUCAAACUUCAAUACUAUAUUUAUAGUCUGAUAAGUGAUCAAUUUUAACAUUUAGGCAUUGUAAAAUUUAUUAGAUAGUUUAAUAUAUUUUUUCCUCAAAUAAAAUUACUAAUUAAACAAAAUCGAUCGAUACUCAACUUUGUCUUUGUCUGGAAUAAAAUUAAAAUAUAAAGGGUAAAUUACACUUUGGUCCCAAAAUAUAAGAUCUAGUACUUUAGUCUUCAAAUUUAAUAUAUUACAUUUUCUUGCUCAAACUAUGAGGCACGUGACGCUUUAAUUCUCAAACUUUAAUUACUUACAAUUUUCUAAUUAUGAGUCAUAAGAUAUUUUAAUCUUCAACUUUUUACUGUUGGUAUUAUAUUUUUUUCUCUUAUUAUUUUUUUAUCAUUUUAUAUUUUUAUUCUUAUGCUUUUAUUU
RNAcentral lists this long non-coding RNA (689 nucleotides) under Ananas comosus (pineapple). RNAcentral's name for it is "long non-coding RNA (ACOM_LNC014809)". Lineage: Eukaryota; Viridiplantae; Streptophyta; Magnoliopsida; Poales; Bromeliaceae. The record is from RNAcentral.